This 477-nucleotide ribosomal RNA is filed under the name uncultured bacterium. Its description in RNAcentral is "partial 16S ribosomal RNA". It matches the Rfam family "Bacterial small subunit ribosomal RNA", at positions 28 to 523 of the family's 1533-position model. The record is from RNAcentral.
GAUCAACGCUGGCGGCGUGCCUAAUGCAUGCAAGUCGAACGGGGUGGCCUUCGGGCCGCUUACAUGGCGGACGGGUGAGGAACACGUGGGCAACCUGCCCAAUGGUGGGGGAUAACCGCUGGAAACAGUGGGUAAUACCGCAUGAGCUCAUUGACCGAGUGGGGUUGGUGAGGAAAGCCUUCGGGCGCCGAUGGAGGGGCCUGCGUCCGAUUAGCUAGACGGUGGGGUAACGGCCUACCGUGGCGAUGAUCGGUAGCUGGUUUGAGAGGAUGAUCAGCCACACGGGGACUGAGACACGGCCCCGACUCCUACGGGAGGCAGCAGCAAGGAAUUUUCCGCAAUGGGCGCAAGCCUGACGGAGCAACGCCGCGUGUGGGAUGACGCUUUUCGGAGUGUAAACCACUGUUCAUGGGGACGAAGCACUGACGGUACCCAUGGAGGAAGGCCCGGCUAACUACGUGCCAGCAGCCGCGGUAA